Molecule: unclassified non-coding RNA, 339 nt
Filed under: Klebsiella pneumoniae subsp. pneumoniae
Lineage: Bacteria; Pseudomonadati; Pseudomonadota; Gammaproteobacteria; Enterobacterales; Enterobacteriaceae
Description: partial 16S-23S ribosomal RNA intergenic spacer
Rfam family: Salmonella enterica Typhi npcRNA 44 (bases 239-332)
Source: RNAcentral
CCUUAAAGAACCUGCCUUUGUAGUGCUCACACAGAUUGUCUGAUGAAAGUAAAGAAGCAAGGCGUCUUGCGAUUGAGACUUCAGUGUCCCCUUCGUCUAGAGGCCCAGGACACCGCCCUUUCACGGCGGUAACAGGGGUUCGAAUCCCCUAGGGGACGCCACUUGCUGGUUCGUGAGUGAAAGACGCGUGCCGAUGUAUCUCAAAACUCAUCUUCGGGUGAUGUUUGAGAUAUUUGCUCUUUAAAAAUCUGGAUCAAGCUGAAAAUUGAAACGACACACUGUUUAAGUGUGUUCGAGUCUCUCAAAUUUUCGCAGUCUGAAGACAUCUUCGGGUUGUGA